This 457-nucleotide ribosomal RNA is filed under the name uncultured archaeon. Its description in RNAcentral is "bacterial SSU rRNA". It matches the Rfam family "Archaeal small subunit ribosomal RNA", at positions 57 to 519 of the family's 1478-position model. The record is from RNAcentral.
GUCGAAUGUAGCAAUACAUGGCGUACUGCUCAGUAACACGUGGACAACCUACCCUUAGGUCGGGGAUAAACCCGGGAAACUGGGUAUAAUACCCGAUAGUCCUCGGAUGCUGGAAUGCACCGAGGUCUAAAGCUCCGGCGCCUAAGGAUGGGUCUGCGGCCUAUCAGGUAGUAGUGGGUGUAGCGUACCUACUAGCCUACGACGGGUACGGGUUGUGAGAGCAAGAGCCCGGAGAUGGAUUCUGAGACACGAAUCCAGGCCCUACGGGGUGCAGCAGGCGCGAAAACUUUACAAUGCUGGAAACAGCGAUAAGGGGACCUCGAGUGCCAGGUUACAAAUCUGGCUGUCGUGAUGCCUAAAAAGCAUUGCAUAGCAAGGGCCGGGCAAGACCGGUGCCAGCCGCCGCGGUAACACCGGCGGCUCGAGUGGUAACCGCUAUUAUUGGGUCUAAAGGGUC